AUUGAACGCUGGCGGCAUGCCUAACACAUGCAAGUCGAACGAGACCUUCGGGUCUAGUGGCGCACGGGUGCGUAACGCGUGGGAAUCUGCCCUUGGGUUCGGAAUAACUCGCCGAAAGGCGUGCUAAUACCGGAUGAUGUCGUAAGACCAAAGAUUUAUCGCCCAGGGAUGAGCCCGCGUAAGAUUAGGUAGUUGGUGAGGUAAAGGCUCACCAAGCCGACGAUCUUUAGCUGGUCUGAGAGGAUGAUCAGCCACACUGGGACUGAGACACGGCCCAG
This 278-nucleotide ribosomal RNA is filed under the name uncultured bacterium. RNAcentral describes it as "partial 16S ribosomal RNA". It matches the Rfam family "Bacterial small subunit ribosomal RNA", at positions 30 to 334 of the family's 1533-position model. The record is from RNAcentral.